RNAcentral lists this ribosomal RNA (445 nucleotides) under uncultured bacterium. Its description in RNAcentral is "bacterial SSU rRNA". It matches the Rfam family "Bacterial small subunit ribosomal RNA", at positions 354 to 796 of the family's 1533-position model. The record is from RNAcentral.
GUGAGGAAUAUUGCGCAAUGGAGGCAACUCUGACGCAGCCAUGCCGCGUGCAGGAAGAAGGCGCUACGCGUUGUAAACUGCUUUUAACCGGGAAGAAACCCCAGGACGUGUCCUGGGUUGACGGUACCGGGGGAAUAAGCACCGGCUAACUUCGUGCCAGCAGCCGCGGUAAUACGAAGGGUGCAAGCGUUAUCCGGAUUCAUUGGGUUUAAAGGGUGCGUAGGCGGAGCGUUAAGUCAGUGGUGAAAUCCUGCAGCUUAACUGUAGACUUGCCAUUGAUACUGGCGCUCUUGAGUGCGCUUGAAGUGGGCGGAAUGUGCCGUGUAGCGGUGAAAUGCAUAGAUAUGUCACAGAACACCAAUUGCGAAGGCAGCUCACUAAGGCGAUACUGACGCUGAGGCACGAAAGCGUGGGGAUCGAACAGGAUUAGAUACCCGUGUAGUCC